Molecule: long non-coding RNA, 1083 nt
Filed under: Homo sapiens (human)
Lineage: Eukaryota; Metazoa; Chordata; Mammalia; Primates; Hominidae
Description: HSALNT0389996
Source: RNAcentral
UGGCUUCGCGACUGCGGAAGGUUGCCCGGGCUGGCGCCGCUGGGCAGAGCCGGUGCGACGUUUCCCUUUCCAGCUUUGUUCUUCCGGCCCUGCUGUCUGCCUCCCCGGCUGAUUGGAUUCGUUACUGCUUUGCAACGCGCACCUAACUCCAGACGGGGUCUCACUCUGUCGCCCAGGCUGGAGUGCAGUGGCACAAUCUCAGCUUGCUGUGACCUCAGCUCUCUGCGACCUCUGCUUGCUGGACUCAAGCGAUCCUCCCACCACCUCAGCCUCCUGAGUAGCUGGAACCAUCAUAUGCACCAGCACGCCUGGCUAAGCUGGAAUGCAAUAGCGUGGUCUUGGCUCACUGCAACCUCCGCCUCCCGGGUUCAAGCAAUUCUCCUGCCUCAGCCUCCUAAGUAGCUGGGACUACAGCUUGAGGUCCUACCUGGUGUCCUCCAUGAGAAUCAUACAAGCCCCGCUACAGACAACAGAAUUGGAAGGUCCUGAGAGCUACCAGAAGCAUCUUCAGUUUUCAUAUGAAAAACUUAAGCCCAGGAGUGAUUUGUGCAGCCAAGGACACACAGCAAGUUAGUGGCUGCACCAGAAAUAGUACUCACUGCCUCAGACAGUCCCUCCCACAGUCUACUCUGUCUCCACCCCAAGGUCUGGUUCUGAAUCAUUCAGUUGUCAGUUGUCUCCUUUUUUUUUUUUUUUUUUGGAGACAGGGUCUCUCUCUGUGGCCCAGGCUGAAGUGCAGUGGUGUGAUUACAGCUCAUGUAGCCUGGACCUCCCAAGCUCAAGCAAUCCUCCUGCCUCUGCCUCCCAAGUAGCUGGGACCACAGGUGGGCAGCACCACACCUGGCUAAUUUUUUAAAUUUUUUUUUAUAGAGACAGGGUCUUACCAUUUGCCCCAGCUGGUCUCAAACCCCUGGGCUCAAGCAAGCCUCCUGCCUUGGCCUCCCAAAGUGCUGGGAUUACAGGUGUGAGCCACCACACCCGGCCUUAUCUCCUAACAUUUUGAUAGCACAAAAUUUUGAAAACCCACUUCUGUGUACGUUAUGAAGCAUAGAAAAUUAAACAGUAUGCACCAAAAAAAAAUAA